RNAcentral lists this ribosomal RNA (400 nucleotides) under uncultured bacterium. RNAcentral describes it as "bacterial SSU rRNA". It matches the Rfam family "Bacterial small subunit ribosomal RNA", at positions 31 to 426 of the family's 1533-position model. The record is from RNAcentral.
GAACGCUGGCGGCGUGCUUAACACAUGCAAGUCGAACGAGAACGGAUUAUAGCUUGCUAUAAUUGUCAGCUAAGUGGCGCACGGGUGAGUAAUGUAUAGGUAAUAUGCCUCUUACUAAGGGAUAACAAAUGGAAACGUUUGCUAAUACCUUAUACUCCUUAUUAACAGAAGUUAAUAAGGAAGAUUAUUGGUAAGAGAUUAGCCUGUAUUGUAUCAGUUAGUUGGUGGGGUAAUGGCUUACCAAGACUAUGACACAUAACUGGUUUGUAGAGGAUGAUCAGUCACACUGGAACUGAGACACGGUCCAGACUCCUACGGGAGGCAGCAGUGGGGAAUAUUGCACAAUGGACGAAAGUCUGAUGCAGCAACGCCGCGUGGAGGAUGACACAUUUCGGUGCGU